RNAcentral lists this ribosomal RNA (253 nucleotides) under uncultured bacterium. RNAcentral describes it as "partial 16S ribosomal RNA". It matches the Rfam family "Bacterial small subunit ribosomal RNA", at positions 524 to 776 of the family's 1533-position model. The record is from RNAcentral.
UACGUAGGGGGCUAGCGUUGUUCGGAAUCAUUGGGCGUAAAGGGCGCGUAGGCGGCUUUAUAAGUCGGGGGUGAAAGCCUGUGGCUCAACCACAGAAUUGCCUUCGAUACUGUAGAGCUUGAGUCCGGAAGAGGUAAGUGGAACUGCGAGUGUAGAGGUGAAAUUCGUAGAUAUUCGCAAGAACACCAGUGGCGAAGGCGGCUUACUGGUCCGGUUCUGACGCUGAGGCGCGAAAGCGUGGGGAGCAAACAGG